GAAGGGAGAGAGGAAUCCCACGGGCAGAGGGAUGCCCCGCACCGACAGCGCUCCGGGUUCGGGGAAGGGAACCUCCCAGGGGAUGGAGGUCCCACCAGGGACGGGAAGCCGAAAUUCGGAACCUUCCUGCGGCCACGGCGCUGUCCCGGUUGCUUUCCCCCGUUCUGCCACCCGGGGGAAGCUGCGGAGCUGCUAUGAGUUCGUGAAGGUUUUAGGGGACCCGCAUGUCCUGUGGUCACCAGUGAGCUUAGCAGCGGGACACCCUCGUCACCAAGAGGUCCUCAUGUGAUGUGGGUAACAAAGUCACAUCCUCAGGGAGCUGGAGACAAGGAGAGGCCACAGAACUUCAGAUUUGGUAGGCUCCAACCAUGCCACACCGAUGUCCUUCUGCAGGAACUUGAGGUCCACCACUCUUGAUGCACAUUGCCAAGAGCACAGGUGCUCAGGAGCCACAGUCGCUCUGAGACUUUCUGCCCCAGCCUUAGCCAUCGUCCCCCAUAACCUCCAACUUCAAAAGGCACUGUUCACGCCGCAGACAGCAAUCUGCAUUUCCUCACAGACAGUGGACCAAGCUCAGCAUGAGGCCAGCCAAGGUAAAUGGCCCAUGGGACUUGGCAAGCUGUGAAGCCCUCUCUGGUACCACGUGCUGAGCCUCACUGCAGCCUGAAUUCCUUAUUAUAGAGUGGCUUACAUUGGAGGGGACCUUAAGGAUCAUCCAGCCUCAACCCCUUGUUGUGAGCAGGGUUGUCCCCCAGCAGCUCAGGCUGCCCAGGGCCCAUCCAUAGCCUGGGGCACCUCCAGGGAUGGGGCAGCACAGCUCUGGGCAGCAGUGGCAGCACCUCACCGCUCCGAGCAAAGAAUUUCUUCCUAACACCUUGUUCUUUCCUCCUGCCCUUUUGGUUCUCUCCCCCUUUUCACAGCAAAAUACCGGAGAACAAAUCACAUCCCUGCGUGGGAGCUUUAUCCACCCGUUCGUUUUGCAUCCCUCUUUCUUCCCCUCCAUCCCUCCCUCUUUCCCCCUGAUGCUCCCCACGCUGCGGCGUUGCAAUCUGUCAGCGGACAGACGCAGCCCGGCUGCAGCUCAGCGCACCGCGACGCACGGGUCAGAGGGGGCAGAUCACUUAACACUACACCUGUUUUAUGAAUAAUAGUGCAAGGCAGCUUUGCUGGGUUCCUGGGAGGGCGUUUUCCCACCAGGAUAAACCCCACGUAUCAAACAAAUUCACGUCUUUAAAUCGUUUGGCUCUGGUUAGCUCCGGUGAUGGGCAGCUCCGGCAGUGCCAUGCAGGCUGGGGGAAGCAUAGGUGGAGCUUGGGAGUGGCUUGUGCACCGUAAGCUUUGCUUAAGGAUGAGUGUGAUCAUAGAUUUGGGUUUGAAUAGCGAGUUUUAAGUGUGAAAAGCAGGAAAACCAAAGAAACCGGGAAACAAAACCCUUGAGAACAGGAUCCAUCAAAUCUUAGAAAUAUCAAACCUAAGCUGAUGUUGUAACAACCUCUAAAGCACUGUGGUUUGUAAAGCAGCCUGGUGCUCUCCAAGAGCAGCCAAAGUUGGAUUUCUGAGCCUGGUGGAGAUGUUGUCCACCUCUCCAUCCCAACCAUAGCAUCCCUGGGUAACUUCUCCCUUCGGCUGCACUGCCACAUCGCUGGGGUCCCUGCAUCCCAUGGGGCACUCAGCACUGCCCAGCAGUACAACCCAUUGAUGGAAUGAGAGCUGCCUCCCAGCGCAGGCUGUGCAGGGAUGGGGACCAGCUCAGGAAAGGCAAAACACACGAAGGAAGCCACUUUCAAUUUGAAAUGAUUAAAAAUAUAUAUAUAUCCGA
Long non-coding RNA from Gallus gallus (chicken), 1819 nucleotides. RefSeq lists it as uncharacterized. The transcript has 2 exons. Lineage: Eukaryota; Metazoa; Chordata; Aves; Galliformes; Phasianidae. The record is from RefSeq and is a predicted model, not a curated record.